Molecule: long non-coding RNA, 1436 nt
Organism: Cervus elaphus (red deer)
Lineage: Eukaryota; Metazoa; Chordata; Mammalia; Artiodactyla; Cervidae
Exons: 3
Source: RefSeq, a predicted model, not a curated record
UUGAACCCAUGUCUCCUGCAUCGCAGGCAGAUUCUUCACUGUUUGAGCUACUAGGGAAGCCCAUCAGAAAGCUAAGGUAGCUGUCAAAUUCCUCCAACAGUUGAUUUCCUUCUUGUUACAUGAAUCUUACAAGUGACUGAAGGCGUGGAAAACGUGCGUGUGUGCUCAAUUGCUCGGUGUGUCCAACUCUUUGCCACCACAUGGACUCUAGCCAACCAGGCUCCUCUGUCCAUGGGAUUAUCCCGGCAUGUAUACUGGAGUGGGUUGCCAUUUCCUUCUCCAGGAAAGUGAUUGAAUAGAGGAGACUUAACUCCAUCAAAUUAUACUGCAGAAACAAUUUAUAUAGGAAGAUAACUUUUGAUUUAAAAUAAUUUUUUUUUAUUUUAAAAUCAAAGCUUUUGAUUUUCAAAAAAUCAGAAGUUGCAUGUGACCAGUAGGGGCCGGGAAAGGAAGUCAACAAUAACAAUUGACUUUCUGGUUUGAGCAACUGAAUGGGUAUUGUUGCCUAUUUCUCUCUUUUUUUUUUUUUUGGCCACGCCACACAGCACAGCAUGUGGGAUCUUAGUUCCUUGACCAGAGAUCAAGUCCACAUCCCCUCAUCUCUGCAUUGGAAGUGUGAUGUCUUAACCACUGUACUCCCUGGGAAGUUCCCGUUGCCUGUUUCUAAUGUCAUUGUCGAAUCCAGUUGACAGGGGACAGAUGAACCACAAUUAAGUAGAAGAUCACAAUAAAAGCUGAUGAGGAAACUGAAGCCAGGAGAAGCUAAGUAACUUGUGCCUGAGGUCACACAGCUGUAAGUCUGCAGCGACUCGAGUCCCGGAGAGCCUGGAGAGGAAACGGGAGGCUUUUCCUGGUAACUACUGGUCACCAGCGGAGAAGGCAAUGGCACCCCCACUCCAGUACUCUUGCUUGGAAAAUCCCAUGGACAAAGAAGCCUGGUGGGCUGCCAUCUCUGGGGUCGCCCAGAGUAGGACACGACUGAAGCGACUUAGUAACAGCAGCAGCAGCAACUGGUCACCAGCAGGGGCCGCCCUAAGAUCGUUGCUUCCGUAAUUGUGAUAAAACUCUUUUACAGAGUAGAGUGGGUUUUCAGAACUGUUGAAGACUGAGAGUUGUGAAUCACUUGCCUUCUUGAUCAAAUUUCAUUCAGCUUUGUCAUGGAAACUGAAUGAUGACAUCAGGAAGGUAUUAAGGUCAAGAAAUAGAAUCAAGCAAUGAAACUACAGAAGAAAAGAGUCUGUAAAUGGUGAGGACCAGAGGGAUUAUUUAUUGAGAAGGAUUACUUAUUUCUUGGUGUGUUGGUAAUCCUGUUUCUUGGUCUCAUGUCCAUUAUAGGAGUGUGUUCAGUUUGUGAAGAUUCAUCAAGCUGUGACAUAGUAUAAAUACAUUUUUCUGUGUAUGUAUUAAAUUUCAAUAAAUGUUUUUAAAACUAAAAA